Molecule: long non-coding RNA, 311 nt
Filed under: Prunus persica (peach)
Lineage: Eukaryota; Viridiplantae; Streptophyta; Magnoliopsida; Rosales; Rosaceae
Description: long non-coding RNA (PPER_LNC004251)
Source: RNAcentral
UUUUCAACACUCUCAAUCUUGAAUCAAUUUUUCUUGGUGGAUCAAAAGUGAAGAAAGGAAAUCAAAGAAUUGAAUACAAAAUUCUAGGGUGGAGGUGAUUGAUCCAUUGCGUCGGUGAACAGACAACUCUGGCUGCAAGCUGAGGCCAAGCGUUGAACACUUGCUCCUUUACAGCUAUGAGCACACACACAUACAGUCUAGAGAGACCCACAUACCAAACCAAGCCUUACCCAUUUCCGAUUUACCUGUCUCCUUUCCCUUUUAUCUAAAUCAGUUUUGUUUGUGAAAAAGGGACCAACCGCCCAACCCAC